UACGUAGGGGGCUAGCGUUGUCCGGAUUUAUUGGGCGUAAAGAGCGUGUAGGCGGCCAGAUAGGUCUGCUGUGAAAACUCGAGGCUCAACCUCGAGAUGUCGGCGGAAACCAUUUGGCUAGAGUCCGGAAGAGGAGAGUGGAAUUCCUGGUGUAGCGGUGAAAUGCGCAGAUAUCAGGAGGAACACCAAUGGCGAAGGCAGCACUCUGGGACGUGACUGACGCUGAGACGCGAAAGCGUGGGGAGCAAACAGG
This 253-nucleotide ribosomal RNA is filed under the name uncultured bacterium. RNAcentral's name for it is "partial 16S ribosomal RNA". It matches the Rfam family "Bacterial small subunit ribosomal RNA", at positions 524 to 776 of the family's 1533-position model. The record is from RNAcentral.